This 460-nucleotide ribosomal RNA is filed under the name uncultured bacterium. Its description in RNAcentral is "partial 16S ribosomal RNA". It matches the Rfam family "Bacterial small subunit ribosomal RNA", at positions 338 to 795 of the family's 1533-position model. The record is from RNAcentral.
CCUACGUGUGGCAGCAGUGAGGAAUAUUGGUCAAUGGGCGAGAGCCUGAACCAGCCAAGUCGCGUGAAGGAUGCAGGAUCUAUGGUUUGUAAACUUCUUUUAUAUGUGAAUAAAGUGAGGAACGUGUUCCUUUUUGUAUGUACCAUAUGAAUAAGCAUCGGCUAACUCCGUGCCAGCCGCCGCGGUAAUACGGAGGAUGCGAGCGUUAUCCGGAUUUAUUUGUUUUAAAGGGUGCGUAGGUGGUUAAUUAAGUCAGCGGUGAAAGUUUGUGGCUCAACCAUAAAAUUGCCGUUGAAACUGGUUGAAUUGAGUAUAUUUGAGGUAGGCGGAAUGCGUGGUGUAGCGGUGAAAUGCUUAGAUAUCACGAAGAACUCCGAUUGCGAAGGCAGCUUACUAAACUGCCACUGACAUUGAUGCUCGAAAGUGUGGGUAUCAAACAGGAUUAGAUACCCGUGUAGUC